Molecule: ribosomal RNA, 503 nt
Filed under: Cryptocephalus ocellatus
Lineage: Eukaryota; Metazoa; Arthropoda; Insecta; Coleoptera; Chrysomelidae
Description: partial 12S ribosomal RNA
Source: RNAcentral
ACAUACUCUAGAGCCCAUUUCAUCUUAUUUUAAUAAAUAAAAUUACUGCCAAAUCCUAAACUAUUCUAAUUUACAAUUCAAAUAAUAUCAAUGUAACCCAUCUCUGCUUUUAAAAGCUGCACCUUGAUUUGAUCUCAUAUAAAAUUUUAUAUAAAGAAAAUUUUUCUUAUCAAUAAAUUUUCCUUCAACAACGAUAUACAAACAAUAAUAAAAGUAUAAUAAAUUGUGAAUUAUCAAUCAUAGGACAGGUUCCUCUGGUAGGUUAAAGUACCGCCAAGACAUUUAAUUUUCAAGAACUUAACUAAUACUAAUCCGGUCUUUUAAAUAACAAUUCUAAUAACAGGGUAUCUAAUCCUGGUUUAAUAAGCAAAUUCUCACAGACCAUUUUAUUAAAAAAUUUAACUUUUAUAUAAAAAUUUCACCUCCCCAUAUAAAUUCUUUCAUUUAAAUAAAAAAUUAACUGAUAACCAUAAAAAUUAAGUCACCUUUUUUGUAUAACCGCA